CAGUCGCCGCGGUAAUACGAAGGGGGCUAGCGUUGUUCGGAAUUACUGGGCGUAAAGCGCACGUAGGCGGAUAUUUAAGUCAGGGGUGAAAUCCCGCAGCUCAACUGCGGAACUGCCUUUGAUACUGGGUAUCUUGAGUAUGGAAGAGGUUAGUGGAAUUGCGAGUGUAGAGGUGAAAUUCGUAGAUAUUCGCAGGAACACCAGUGGCGAAGGCGGCUAACUGGUCCAUAACUGACGCUGAGGUGCGAAAGCGUGGGGAGCAAACAGGAUUAGAUACCCGUGUAGUCCCUGUCUCUUAUAC
RNAcentral lists this ribosomal RNA (301 nucleotides) under uncultured bacterium. RNAcentral's name for it is "partial 16S ribosomal RNA". It matches the Rfam family "Bacterial small subunit ribosomal RNA", at positions 509 to 807 of the family's 1533-position model. The record is from RNAcentral.